This 468-nucleotide ribosomal RNA is filed under the name uncultured bacterium. RNAcentral's name for it is "partial 16S ribosomal RNA". It matches the Rfam family "Bacterial small subunit ribosomal RNA", at positions 28 to 507 of the family's 1533-position model. The record is from RNAcentral.
GACGAACGCUGGCGGCGUGCUUAACACAUGCAAGUCGAACGGAAAGACCCUGCUUUUGUGGGGUGCUCGAGUGGCGAACGGGUGAGUAACACGUGAGUAACCUGCCCUUGACUUUGGGAUAACUUCAGGAAACUGGGGCUAAUACCGGAUAGGAGCUCCUGCUGCAUGGUGGGGGUUGGAAAGUUUCGGCGGUUGGGGAUGGACUCGCGGCUUAUCAGCUUGUUGGUGGGGUAGUGGCUUACCAAGGCUUUGACGGGUAGCCGGCCUGAGAGGGUGACCGGCCACAUUGGGACUGAGAUACGGCCCAGACUCCUACGGGAGGCAGCAGUGGGGAAUAUUGCACAAUGGGCGGAAGCCUGAUGCAGCAACGCCGCGUGCGGGAUGACGGCCUUAGGGUUGUAAACCGCUUUCGCCUGUGACGAAGCGUGAGUGACGGUAAUGGGUAAAGAAGCACCGGCUAACUACGUG